CCUACGGGUGGCUGCAGUGGGGGAUAUUGCACAAUGGGGGGAACCCUGAUGCAGCGACGCCGCGUGUGGGAAGACGGUCCUCUGGAUUGUAAACCACUGUCCCCAGGGACGAAAAUGACGGUACCUGGGGAGGAAGCUCCGGCAAACUACGUGCCAGCAGCCGCGGUAAUACGUAGGGAGCGAGCGUUGUCCGGAAUUACUGGGUGUAAAGGGAGCGUAGGCGGGGAUGCAAGUUGGGUGUCAAACCUACCGGCUCAACUGGUAGUCGCACUCAAAACUGCAGCUCUUGAGUGAAGUAGAGGCAGGCGGAAUUCCUAGUGUAGCGGUGAAAUGCGUAGAUAUUAGGAGGAACACCAGUGGCGAAGGCGGCCUGCUGGGCCUUUACUGACGCUGAGGCUCGAAAGUGUGGGGAGCAAACAGGAUUAGAUACCCUGGUAGUC
This 440-nucleotide ribosomal RNA is filed under the name uncultured bacterium. Its description in RNAcentral is "partial 16S ribosomal RNA". It matches the Rfam family "Bacterial small subunit ribosomal RNA", at positions 338 to 795 of the family's 1533-position model. The record is from RNAcentral.